UACAGAGGUCCCAAGCGUUGUUCGGAUUCAUUGGGCGUAAAGGGCGCGUAGGCGGUCAGCACAAGUCAGUUGUGAAAUCUCCGGGCUUAACCCGGAAAGGUCAACUGAUACUGUGCGACUAGAGUGCGGAAGGGGCAACUGGAAUUCUCGGUGUAGCGGUGAAAUGCGUAGAUAUCGAGAGGAACACCUGCGGCGAAGGCGGGUUGCUGGGCCGACACUGACGCUGAUGCGCGAAAGCCAGGGGAGCGAACGGG
This 254-nucleotide ribosomal RNA is filed under the name uncultured bacterium. RNAcentral's name for it is "partial 16S ribosomal RNA". It matches the Rfam family "Bacterial small subunit ribosomal RNA", at positions 524 to 776 of the family's 1533-position model. The record is from RNAcentral.